GACGAACGCUGGCGGCGUGCCUAAUACAUGCAAGUUGAGCGCUGAAGGUUGGUACUUGUACCAACUGGAUGAGCAGCGAACGGGUGAGUAACGCGUGGGGAAUCUGCCUUUGAGCGGGGGACAACAUUUGGAAACGAAUGCUAAUACCGCAUAAAAACUUUAAACACAAGUUUUAAGUUUGAAAGAUGCAAUUGCAUCACUCAAAGAUGAUCCCGCGUUGUAUUAGCUAGUUGGUGAGGUAGAGGCUCACCAAGGCGAUGAUACAUAGCCGACCUGAGAGGGUGAUCGGCCACAUUGGGACUGAGACACGGCCCAAACUCCUACGGGAGGCAGCAGUAGGGAAUCUUCGGCAGUGGACGAAAGUCUGACCGAGCAACGCCGCGUGAGUGAAGAAGGUUUUCGGAUCGUAAAACUCUGUUGGUAGAGAAGAACGUUGGUGAGAGUGGAAAGCUCAUCAAGUGACGGUAACUACCCAGAAAGGGACGGCUAACUACGUG
RNAcentral lists this ribosomal RNA (497 nucleotides) under uncultured bacterium. RNAcentral's name for it is "partial 16S ribosomal RNA". It matches the Rfam family "Bacterial small subunit ribosomal RNA", at positions 28 to 507 of the family's 1533-position model. The record is from RNAcentral.